AGACUUAUUAACUCAAUGUUUAGAGGUUAAGAUGUCUAAACUUGCCACAAAUGUUUAUGCAAUUUAACAAGUUCUUAGAUACCUUGUGACAAAUUUAUUAGACUACCCAAAUAUUUUCAGAUAUAAAAUGAAAACAAAAGUGAAAAUAUUGUUCUGUAUAUAAAAAUUAUAAUAGAAAAAUAGAAAAAAAAAUUAAUCUAAAUUUAAAGUAAGAUAUAGAGUUUUAUUUUUGGAGUAGGAUAUAGAGCACCCCUGGAAAAGAUUUUUCACUAAAUGUAUGUUUGCAGGUGAAAAUAGAGUAAUAUUAAAGAUGUUCUAAAAGUGAGAUAGUGCAUGAGAAUGAAAAAAAUCAUCGUUUAAUGAUGCAAAUCAUGCAAUCAUAUAAUUACAGUCUCGGAAAUAUUUUUGUAUGGAGCACAAACAUGUAAUAUGUGUUGCCUAUGGUAUUUGUACUCCGGUUAAUACCCGGACUAAAUUGAAGAGAUGCAUGUUUCAUCCAAAGGUCCGAAGUGAUGACCAAGACCCGCCU
RNAcentral lists this long non-coding RNA (529 nucleotides) under Brassica napus (rape). RNAcentral describes it as "long non-coding RNA (BNAP_LNC006696)". Lineage: Eukaryota; Viridiplantae; Streptophyta; Magnoliopsida; Brassicales; Brassicaceae. The record is from RNAcentral.